UACACUCCUACGGGAGGCAGCAGUGGGGAAUCUUGCGCAAUGGGCGAAAGCCUGACGCAGCCAUGCCGCGUGAAUGAUGAAGGUCUUAGGAUUGUAAAAUUCUUUCACCGGGGACGAUAAUGACGGUACCCGGAGAAGAAGCCCCGGCUAACUUCGUGCCAGCAGCCGCGGUAAUACGAAGGGGGCUAGCGUUGCUCGGAAUUACUGGGCGUAAAGGGAGCGUAGGCGGACAUUUAAGUCAGGGGUGAAAUCCCGGGGCUCAACCUCGGAAUUGCCUUUGAUACUGGGUGUCUUGAGUAUGAGAGAGGUGUGUGGAACUCCGAGUGUAGAGGUGAAAUUCGUAGAUAUUCGGAAGAACACCAGUGGCGAAGGCGACACACUGGCUCAUUACUGACGCUGAGGCUCGAAAGCGUGGGGAGCAAACAGGAUUAGAAACCCUGGUAGUCCC
Molecule: ribosomal RNA, 448 nt
Filed under: uncultured organism
Description: partial 16S ribosomal RNA
Rfam family: Bacterial small subunit ribosomal RNA
Source: RNAcentral